ACGUAGGGAGCAAGCGUUGUUCGGAUUUACUGGGCGUAAAGGGCGCGUAGGCGGCAUAUUAAGUCAGCUGUGAAAUCUCCGAGCUUAACUCGGAACUGUCAGCUGAUACUGAUGUGCUAGAGUGCAGAAGGGGCAAUCGGAAUUCUUGGUGUAGCGGUGAAAUGCGUAGAUAUCUGGAGGAACACCGGUGGCGAAGGCGGCAUCCUGGACCAACACUGACACUGAGGAGCGAAAGCCAGGGGAGCAAACGGGA
Molecule: ribosomal RNA, 253 nt
Filed under: uncultured prokaryote
Description: partial 16S ribosomal RNA
Rfam family: Bacterial small subunit ribosomal RNA
Source: RNAcentral